RNAcentral lists this long non-coding RNA (670 nucleotides) under Physcomitrium patens. RNAcentral's name for it is "long non-coding RNA (PPAT_LNC012800)". The record is from RNAcentral. Lineage: Eukaryota; Viridiplantae; Streptophyta; Bryopsida; Funariales; Funariaceae.
UGUGCUGCGUUAAUCUUAUUUCCAUACAAUGUGCUGAAAGCAGCUAAUGGAACGCAUGAAUUCUAACUGUUGGUUGCAUUCAGCCUUCAACGUCUAAGGUCCCAUCAAUUACCAACUAGACAUUAGUAUUCAAAUGACGACGACAAAGGUACUCUUUUUCACUUCGUCUCAACAACACCACUUGCAUUUCAAAUGUUCAAGAGAUCUCAAUGAAGACUUGGAAAGGAAUAUCGGUUUUUAGUUGUGUUCAUACAUUAAGCUGAGUUGAAUGAGCUCUACGAAAACUGCUUUCCUCAUUUCGUUAGGGAAUGUACAACUUCAGAAGUAUCUGUAAUGAAGGCUAUUUGUCGGCUGGCGGUUGAAACGCUGUCUGAUGGCGCUUGAAAAAUUCACGAAAUCCAUAUGCGCUCAUGUCGUAAUUGUACUGUUAACAUCAAACCGCAAGAACCUACGUGUCACUGACCAAAAACGCUAACGAUUUGCACAGAUCAACAUACUUGCUCAUGGACUAUACUUGGAAAGGCUACUCGCAACACUCAUUACCUCUGUAAUCUUUAAAAUCCACAAGCGAACAGAGCUUGCAUUUAAGUUGAAGAGAAUGGAAACUAAACACCAUAGCAUCGGAGAAUUGAUAUGUUGAGAAGGACUAACCGGAGUAACAUUGUCACUG